RNAcentral lists this ribosomal RNA (484 nucleotides) under uncultured bacterium. RNAcentral's name for it is "partial 16S ribosomal RNA". It matches the Rfam family "Bacterial small subunit ribosomal RNA", at positions 30 to 507 of the family's 1533-position model. The record is from RNAcentral.
AUUGAACGCUGGCGGCAUGCCUUACACAUGCAAGUCGAACGGCAGCGCGGACUUCGGUCUGGCGGCGAGUGGCGAACGGGUGAGUAAUACAUCGGAACGUACCCUGUUGUUGGGGAUAACUAGUCGAAAGAUUAGCUAAUACCGCAUACGACCUGAGGGUGAAAGUGGGGGAUCGCAAGGCCUCACGCAGCAGGAGCGGCCGAUGUCUGAUUAGCUAGUUGGUGGGGUAAAGGCCCACCAAGGCGACGAUCAGUAGCUGGUCUGAGAGGACGAUCAGCCACACUGGGACUGAGACACGGCCCAGACUCCUACGGGAGGCAGCAGUGGGGAAUUUUGGACAAUGGGGGCAACCCUGAUCCAGCAAUGCCGCGUGUGUGAAGAAGGCCUUCGGGUUGUAAAGCACUUUUGUCCGGAAAGAAAUCGCGCUGGUUAAUACCUGGCGUGGAUGACGGUACCGGAAGAAUAAGCACCGGCUAACUACGUG